GGAGGAUCCGAGCGUUAUCCGGAUUUAUUGGGUUUAAAGGGAGCGUAGGUGGACAGUUAAGUCAGUUGUGAAAGUUUGCGGCUCAACCGUAAAAUUGCAGUUGAUACUGGCUGUCUUGAGUACAGUAGAGGUGGGCGGAAUUCGUGGUGUAGCGGUGAAAUGCUUAGAUACCACGAAGAACUCCGAUUGCGAAGNCAGCUCACUGGACUGCAACUGACACUGAUGCUCGAAAGUGUGGGUAUCAAACAGGAUUAGAUACCCUGGUAGUCCACACAGUAAACGAUGAAUACUCGCUGUUUGCGAUAUACAGUAAGCGGCCAAGCGAAAGCAUUAAGUAUUCCACCUGGGGAGU
Molecule: ribosomal RNA, 352 nt
Filed under: uncultured bacterium
Lineage: Bacteria
Description: bacterial SSU rRNA
Rfam family: Bacterial small subunit ribosomal RNA
Source: RNAcentral